Helianthus annuus (common sunflower) is the source of this 139-nucleotide long non-coding RNA. RefSeq lists it as uncharacterized. NCBI's taxonomy places the organism in Eukaryota, Viridiplantae, Streptophyta, Magnoliopsida, Asterales, Asteraceae. The record is from RefSeq and is a predicted model, not a curated record. The transcript has 3 exons.
AAGCUCAUGGGUAUAUGUCUAAUUCUGAUCUUGAGAAGGCUAUCAAGGCAUUUCAUGGUAGAUGUGGUCGUAUAUCAAAGAUAUACAGUAUUGGGAAAAGUGUCUUUGGAGUUCCACUGUGGGCGAUCGAAAUGUCUAA